AUAGUGUCCUUCUCUGUAGUAUCUCCAAUAGCAUAUUUCAUCUUCUUAUUAGCUCUAACGUCGCCGGAAUCUGAUGAUUUCUUCGGCUCAAUUAGCUUUAAUUUCUUCUUCAAAUCUUUGUAUGAUAAGAAUUUGUCUCGCCAUUCAGGUAAUGUUUCUUCUAUUUGAUUGCUUAAGCUUUUUCCAAACUUCAUUUGUUCAAAUAUAGAGGGAAUCACACACAAAAAAGUGUGACUUUGAGAGAAAUCACACACAGUGAACGUGUGAUUUGAGAAAAAAUACGCAGAGUAACACACACUGAAUUGAAGUGUGAUUUGAGAAAAAACACACAGUGAAGGUGUGAUUUUGAGAGAAAUUAUACACAGUAACACACAGUGAAGGUGUGAUUUUGAGGAAAAAUACACGCAGAGAAAGUGUGAUUUUGAGGAAAACUACACACGGUAACACAUAGUGAAGGUGUGAUUUUGAGAGAAAUUACACACAGUGAAGGUGUGAUUUGAGAAAAAAUGAGGGGAACAUAUGAAUUUGAGAGGUUGAUAUAAUGGUGUUUUGUAUGUGUGGAGUGAAAAAAAAGAGGGAGAAUAUUGAGUGAGUUGGGGGUUUAGUUGGGAAUAUUCUCUUCUUGUGCUUCUUUCCUUUUUUAUUUUUUAAAAUACUAUUAUUAUUAUUAAAAUAUUAUUCACUUUUGCCACUUCAAUAGAUCUUCACAAAUUAAAAGCGCUGCUUCGACCUUAACUAUCAAGCUAUGUGAUGAAAAUUUCCUCAAUCAAUUGUCACUCAACAGCUCGAAAUAUUUCGACUGAAGAAUUAUGAUCCAUCAAAGAAAAGAAAAGGAAAAAAUAUAUCGCGAUGCACCUCUCUUUGGUUAAGCUCCGGGAGAUGCUUAAGUUGACUUUCUUUAGAAGCCACAUCGAUAAUAUAUCGUUCUAGAUUUCACUUGUGAUAUAAUAUUGGUUAUGUUCUUGUGUCUAUAUCGUAUUGUUAAAUUCAUUGUAUUGUAUCAUUUUAGGCUUUACCCAUGAGAUAUGUUGUUUUAUAUCUCAAUUCAUUGUCGUGUCAUAAUAAAAAACCUCAUUUUAUGUAACAAAUCACGUGAGAUGUAUAUGUUAUAUUAGUAAAAUCAUGUGAGAUUUAUCAUGUUAAAUGCGUGUAUUUAUUUAAUUUUAUAAUAGUUUAAUUGUGUAUUUAUGUAUACUUAAAAUAAUAUAUUACAAUAUAAUGAUAUAAGUUAUUUGAGCUAAGAAUUUAUUGGAAACAAUAAUUGUAUUAUCAGGACAUAGGGCUAAAAUUUUGCAUAGCUUUUAUCCUAAACUCUAUAAGUUAUUGUUACAAUUGUUUGAUAUAAUGUAAUAGAAUAUAAUAGUAAUAAGUUAUUAAAUAAUAUGUUAUAGGCGCCCUAACUAUUAAUGUUUGUGAUUUGGUUUAUACAUAUUUUUCCUUUAACUUAUCCACUCAUAAAAACCUCAUUUUUAUCUUUUUUAUCUUUAAAUAUAUUUUGAGCAAUUUAGAAAAUUCAAAUAUAACUCUUGUUAUCACUAAAAGAAUAUUUUUGACCCUUUUAAGAUAAAAGGUAAAAUAUGUGGAGAAUAUUAUGAAUGAGGGUGAUGAAUGGAAUCAAUAUGAAUUACAGUGAAAUAGUAGUAAUCCUCUACUUUUAACUAAAAAAUUCAUAUUCUAAUUCGAGUAUGGAAAUUUUUUUUAUUGGCCACUCUAUAAAAUUGAUAUCAAACAUUGAACCCUUUAAAUUAGUCCGUAUUUUUAUUUCUAAAUCUUUCAAUGAAAAUUCUGACUCCAUAUCUGUCCACCGAAUAUAAGGGGGUAUAGUUGAGAAUAUUCUUUUAUGGUGCCAUUUUAUUUGAUAUCUAGAAGAGGAUAUCUUUUGGUUUAUGCUUUAUAUAUUCUUUUUUUUAUUUCAACAGGUAGGCUAUUGGUGGGGCCCUUUGGAUUUUGUAUAUAGUGACGUGGCAGUUAGUUAACAGUUUGAGCUGGUGAGCUAUAUUGCUUAUCAUAUUCUAUCUUAGAUACUCC
RNAcentral lists this long non-coding RNA (2028 nucleotides) under Capsicum annuum. RNAcentral's name for it is "long non-coding RNA (CANN_LNC013364)". The record is from RNAcentral. Lineage: Eukaryota; Viridiplantae; Streptophyta; Magnoliopsida; Solanales; Solanaceae.